CCACACGGGGCUGCCACGACUUUGAAGUCCCAAUAGAUCAUUUUAUAGAGCCAUGGGUACCAUUUUUUCCAGCACAGCACCAGGCGCCAGUGCGAGUGCUUGUGGAAUUUAGCAUAUCCUACUCCAGGUAUGAUAAAGAAACCUUGGCACCUUCUGUUUGUUUUUACUAAUUUCCUUUCCAAACUGCCUUUUCAAUACAGAGGAAAGACCUCAGGACUUAAAGUUUGUUAUUUUCUCUCCAAAGUUAGUCCCUGUUCCCCCUGCCUCCCUCCCUCCCCUUCCUUUAAACCAGACUGAACUGCUUCUUCGCUUGGUGGCUGUAUCUUAAAUCACGGCAUGAAAUCGAGCCCUUCGCCGUGCUUGCUGUCUGUGCGUGAGCCACAUCAGCGGCUGGCAGCGCUCCCGAGCCCUGGCAUCCUUCCUCAGCAGCCUUGAGUCCAAUUAGGCUUCACCUCAGUUUUGAGUACAGCUUCCCCCUAUCACUGGGCCUGCUCCUGCCACACUUUCAGGGUUCUCCAUACCCCAUUAAGCCCCAGGAAGCAGAUCUGGGACUUGUGGAGCAAGCUGGGGCUCAGCUCCAGCACUGCUGUGUGGGUACCGCUGCUCUCUUUGCAGAAAGAUCCAAAGGAGAGAGGGAAAACGGAGUGAGAUGCAAACAGAGAGGGGGGAUGGCUGUGGCACCCCAUCCUUCUCCUGCAUGGGAUCCCUGCCAGCCCUGCAAGCACUGGGCUGGUGCCAACUAUCGCGUUCGCCCGUCCCCAUCCUCCUGCAUCCUCCAGCAGCCUCUGUCCAGAGCCAUGCGGCUGUCCUGGGGGGGACCCAUCCCUUGGGAAAACCAGUGGAAACCGGAGUUAGUCCUCGUCUGUUUAACUAGCUCUUCAUUAGGUAUGCUUUCUAUAAACACAGAUUAAAAGAAAACAAACAACAAAAAAUAAAGAUACUGGAAUUACUCUGAGGAAACUGUAU
Molecule: long non-coding RNA, 966 nt
Filed under: Anas platyrhynchos platyrhynchos (common mallard)
Lineage: Eukaryota; Metazoa; Chordata; Aves; Anseriformes; Anatidae
Description: lncRNA (ENSAPLG00000025137.1)
Source: RNAcentral